GACGAACGCUGGCGGCGUGCUUAACACAUGCAAGUCGAACGGAAAGGCCCUGCUUUUGUGGGGUGCUCGAGUGGCGAACGGGUGAGUAACACGUGAGUAACCUGCCCUUGACUUUGGGAUAACUUCAGGAAACUGGGGCUAAUACCGGAUAGGAGCUCCUGCUGCAUGGUGGGGGUUGGAAAGUUUCGGCGGUUGGGGAUGGACUCGCGGCUUAUCAGCUUGUUGGUGGGGUAGUGGCUUACCAAGGCUUUGACGGGUAGCCGGCCUGAGAGGGUGACCGGGCCAAUUGGGGACGGGGGUCCGGCCCGAGCCCCUCGGGGGGGCAGGAGUGGGGAAUUUUGCAAAAGGGGGGGAACCGUGAGGCAGCAACGCCGGGGGCGGGAUGGGGGCUUUGGGUUUGAAAACCGCUUUCGCCUGUGACGAAGGGGUGGUGGCGGUAAUGGGUAAAGAAGCCCCGGCUAACUACGU
Molecule: ribosomal RNA, 468 nt
Filed under: uncultured bacterium
Lineage: Bacteria
Description: partial 16S ribosomal RNA
Rfam family: Bacterial small subunit ribosomal RNA
Source: RNAcentral